This 468-nucleotide ribosomal RNA is filed under the name uncultured bacterium. RNAcentral's name for it is "partial 16S ribosomal RNA". It matches the Rfam family "Bacterial small subunit ribosomal RNA", at positions 28 to 507 of the family's 1533-position model. The record is from RNAcentral.
GACGAACGCUGGCGGCGUGCUUAACACAUGCAAGUCGAACGGAAAGGCCCUGCUUUUGUUGGUUGCUCGAGUGGCGCACGGGUGAGUAACACGUGAGUAACCUGCCCUUGACUUUGGGAUAACUUCAGGAAACUGGGGCUAAUACCGGAUAGGAGCUCCUGCUGCAUGUUGUGGGUUGGAAAGUUUCGGCGGUUGGGGAUGUACUCGCGGCUUAUCAGCUUGUUGGUGUGGUAGUGGCUUACCAAGGCUUUGACGGGUAGCCGGCCUGAGAGGGUUACCGGCGACAUGGGGACUGAGAUACGGCGCAGAAUCCUACGGGAGGCAGCAGUGGGGAACAUUACACAAUGGGCGGAAGCCUGAUGCAGCAACGCCGCGUGCGGGAUGACGGCCUUCGGGGUGUAAACCGCUGUCGCCGGUGACGAAGAGUGAGUGACGGUAAUGGGUAAAGAAGCAACGGCUAACUACGUG